AAUCGUGGCUAGAGGGGGCUGCUGGCGCCUGCGCCACCCUCGCCCUACAGAGGCGUCCCGGGCGCGGGGGAGCCGCUUCUCCGCCCUGCCGUCCGGCCAGCGGCUUCAGUGCCAGUGGGCAGCGCGAUGCAGCAGCCAGCAGCGAGAAAGGCGCUGCCUCCCGGCAGGCCCCUCGGGAGACGGCUCCGAGAGGGUCGCCCGGGGACACGACGAGGGCUCCCGCCGGCUCCUGCUUCCUCCCCGUGCGCCGAUCCCAGGGAGGGCGGAGGCCAGCCCAGUGGCUGGAGGUUUCCCGGCACCCCGACCCAGAGGCUCCAGGGGGGCUCGGCGGCCCUUCCACCUCCAGCUUCACGACCAGGCGACCCCUCUGACCUUGGCAACUGUGCGAGGUGUGUGGACUUCGGCUCCCAGAAUUCCUCGGCCAGUAUGUCAGGCUGGGGAACUCUGGGAGUCGAAGUCCACAGAUCUUUACAAUGGCCAAGGCUGAGAAACGCUUGUCUGGAUCGACGUUUGGAGGCUGAGUGCGGAUCCUGUUCUGCACCAGCAGUAGCUGCGGAGUGGCCUGCCUGGGCUGAGCCGCCGGUUUGGGUUGGCUCUGACCCCCUGCCCAACAGGCUUGGCCAAAAGGGAGGAAGUGCCCCCACCCCCACCUGGGGCUUCUUCGUGCGGUGGCUUAGUGGAGAGCUGCUGCUGGGGCAGGGGGCUGUAUUUGCCACUCAGUUCUGCAAAGGUGGGAAGAAAGUCAGUUUCCUUUUUUCAGUAGUGUGGUUUCCCUGUAGCAUCUCUUGUCGCUUUAUUUCCUUAUGUAUAAAUGCGUGCACGCACGCACGCACACACACACACAUAGGACGGAAGAGCCCCCACCCACAGACUUCCUGUUGCAGACUGCCUGCAAAAAUCUUCCCUAUAUCUCCUUGCCCAGUCAUUUUUUCACCUGUUAGAAGACAGUCAUCUGCCACCUGUGCUGACAAAAACGGUGACAACAUAAUAUCUGGCUCUCCCAUCGACAAGCAUGGGAAGCCAGGAACAGUUGCUGUGGGUAACUGCCGUUGCCCUGUUCUUCCAAGGUAGGACUAAAUCCAAGGCAGGCAGUUUGAGAGGGUUGUGGCUUGUGAACUCGGGGCUGGGAGCAGGGGGGUGGGGAGAGAGGGUAGGCAGGCUGCAAAAGAAAGAAGGAGCCGGGCAUAGGGAGAAGGCAGGAGGACCAGAUUGCCAUUACCAUGUGUUGCUUGCACUCAGCUGUGUUUGUGAUUCAGGGCAUCUGCUUAUACACACAAGCACAGACAAUCUGAAAGCAGCAAACCCACGUCCUCUUCACACCUGGCCUGCAGCCGGAGGCAGCCAGGCUGACCAGGUGUAGUCAGCCACUUCCCUCUGUCUCGCCAAGCUCCUAAAUGAGGAAUGGGACAUUUAUGUUGCAAGCUUUUGGAGGAAAGGCUGCAUGCAAAUGUAAAUUCAUCCCACUGAAGAGAAAAAACUGUCAGAGGAAAUGAUGGAGAUAUUCCCUUUGGGUGGUUGCCAGAUUCCAGGGCCAAAAGAUCUGUGAGGGGAUCCCGUCUCCCCAGCCUGUGGCAGGCAUCAGCAUAAGUGGAAAUGCCGCAUCUGGAAAAGGUAUGCUUUAUCCAGGUUUUCUAAAACCAGAGAGGCAGCUCGGAAGGAGUUCAGAUAAGGUGGAUUGAUACAGUAUGUCUGGGGCCAGCCAAAGGUUGUGGCCAUGCUUUACUGACUAUGCCAUAAUUGCCUGAGUUUGCACAAUGUGUGUAGAUUGUGAUGCACAAUCCCAGUCAGUGACUCUUGGUGUGCUUAAAUUCUGGCUCUCUUUCAUUUGGGGCUGGUUUCUGAAUUUUCCAGAUCCUGAGUGUUUGAAAAAAGCUUGUUUCUGAAAGAAUACUGUAUUUUUCGGAGCAUAAGACGCACCUUUUUUCCUCAAAAAAGAGGCUGGAAAUCUGGGUGCGUCUU
This is an RNA transcript of Thamnophis elegans (Western terrestrial garter snake), 1959 nucleotides long. It is a transcript of the gene named T-cell surface glycoprotein CD3 gamma chain-like, with no coding region annotated. Lineage: Eukaryota; Metazoa; Chordata; Lepidosauria; Squamata; Natricidae. The transcript is spliced from 2 exons. The record is from RefSeq and is a predicted model, not a curated record.